This 398-nucleotide ribosomal RNA is filed under the name uncultured bacterium. RNAcentral describes it as "bacterial SSU rRNA". It matches the Rfam family "Bacterial small subunit ribosomal RNA", at positions 362 to 776 of the family's 1533-position model. The record is from RNAcentral.
UAUUGCGCAAUGGAGGCAACUCUGACGCAGUGACGCCGCGUAUAGGAAGAAGUUUUUCGGAAUGUAAACUAUUGUCGUUAGGGAAGAGAAAGGACAGUACCUAAGGAGGAAGCUCCGGCUAACUACGUUCCAGCAGCCGCGGUAAUACGGAGGGAGCGAGCGUUAUCCGGAAUUAUUGGGUGUAAAGGGUGCGUAGACGGGAAAACAAGUUAGUUGUGAAAACCCUCGGCUUAACUGAGGAACUGCAACUAAAACUAUUUUUCUUGAGUGCAGGAGAGGUAAGUGGAAUUCCUAGUGUAGCGGUGAAAUGCGUAGAUAUUAGGAGGAACACCAGUGGCGAAGGCGGCCUGCUGGACGAUGACUGACGUUGAGGCUCGAAAGCGUGGGGAGCAAACAGG